AUUGAACGCUGGCGGCGUGCCUAAUACAUGCAAGUCGAACGCAGUGGGGACGGGUGAGUAACACGUGGGUAACCUCCCAUCAGAGGGGAUAACACUUGGAAACAGGUGCUAAACCGAUCCUGAUGGAUGGACCCGCGUUGCAUUCGCUCGUUGGUGAGGUAACGGCGUACCAAGGCCCGGAUGCAUAGCCGACCUGAGGGGGGGAUCGGCUAUACUGGGACGGAGACACGGCCCAGACUCCUACGGAAUGCAGCAGUAGGGAAUCUGCGGCAAUGGACGAAAGUCUGACCGAGCAACGCCGCGUGAGUGAAGAGGGUUUUCGGAUAGUAAAGCUCUGUUGUUAAGGAAGCGGUACUUAACCAGAAAGGGACGGCUAACUACGUGCCAGCCGCCGCGGUAAUAC
RNAcentral lists this ribosomal RNA (403 nucleotides) under uncultured bacterium. Its description in RNAcentral is "partial 16S ribosomal RNA". It matches the Rfam family "Bacterial small subunit ribosomal RNA", at positions 30 to 526 of the family's 1533-position model. The record is from RNAcentral.